Molecule: long non-coding RNA, 856 nt
Filed under: Danio rerio (zebrafish)
Lineage: Eukaryota; Metazoa; Chordata; Actinopteri; Cypriniformes; Danionidae
Description: long non-coding RNA NONDRET010789
Source: RNAcentral
AGGGUGUAAUUGUUAAAAAUAGGUACAAACAUAAGAUAUAAACAAAAACCUAAACAAACACUUCUAUGUACAUAACGUCAUAAAAAUACUUGUUUUAUUUACCUCGCGCUGCCGUCCUUGUACUGCCGUGAACAGGAAAUUCUGGGAAUGGAGGACGGAGAGUUGAAUCGAUUCGUCUUCAACAAACCGAUCAGUGUGACAUCAAAACAUCGCGAGAACAACAGACAGCUCCGUGUGCAUUUGAAUCCAUCUCGCGAUAUUGUAUCACUUCAGGUACGCGCCUACUGAUUCGUUGAUUCAAACGAGUUGUGAAUCAAGAAGCCUUAAGAUCCGAAUCAAACUGCAGCAGCACGCCACGAGGUUUUGCUCAGACUUUUGGGACGUUUGGAAUUGCUCCGUCUUGUCACCAUGUAACACAUAGCAGCAAGACCCAUGGGAUUUCAUCAGCCACUCACCAUCAGAGUCCUCAGUGGAAGCUGAGAAGAGCAGAAGAGGAAGCCAAGCAAGAGAUGCCAGAAAAAAAGGGGGAAGGAAAUAAUGUGUUAUUUAGCUGUUUGAGUAUAGGCAGGCGUAGUGGGUAGCACAAUCGCCUCACAGCAAGAAGGUCGCUGGUUCGAGCCUCGGCUGGGUCAGUUGGCAUUUCUGUGUGGAGUUUGCAUGUUCUCCCCAUGUUAGCGUGGGUUUCCUCCGGGUGCUCCCACAAGUCCAAAAAUAUGUGGUGACAUUGGGUAAGGUAAAAUUGUCCGUAGUGUAUGUGUGUGAAUGAGUAUGUAUGGAUGUUUCCCAGUGAUGGGUUGCAGCUGGGUGGCAACACGGUGGCACAGUAGGUAGUGCUGUUUCCUCACAUCAAGAAGGU